Non-coding RNA from Acanthosepion pharaonis, 110 nucleotides. NCBI's taxonomy places the organism in Eukaryota, Metazoa, Mollusca, Cephalopoda, Sepiida, Sepiidae. The record is from the annotation of a GenBank genome assembly.
UGGCCAUAUAGCGUUGAAACACCGUUCCCGUAUGAUAACCGAAGUUAAGCAAAGUCGAGCCUAGUCACUACCUAGAUGGGUGACUACUUGAGAAUACCAGGUGCUGUAAG